This 30-nucleotide ribosomal RNA is filed under the name Fusarium oxysporum. RNAcentral's name for it is "partial 18S ribosomal RNA". Lineage: Eukaryota; Fungi; Ascomycota; Sordariomycetes; Hypocreales; Nectriaceae. The record is from RNAcentral.
CGGUAGACCUGCGGAGGGAUCAUUACCGAG